GUGUGAAGAUUUUGAUAAUUCAAAAAGCUCAUCUCAUGACUUUCUAACUCAUGAGUUUAUUACGAAAAUACCUUUUUGAGUGUUGGAUCAUCUCAACAUUUAUAAUUCAUGUAGAUGCCUAUAGAUUACACUUCUCUAAAUCAUUUCAAUUCCUAAGCAUUUUAAUUUGAGUUGAUUAGUUUUAUUCAUUUUGAAAUUAAAUCUUAGAACCAAAUGACAAGCUUUACAUGCAUUUUUCAAGAACAUAAAAAGAAAGUGAAGAUGACUUUGUGAUGAAAGCAGCUGAUCUCAUCAUCUCUAACACAUAAAAAUCUAGCCUAAAAGUCUUUGUUUAUUCACUUGGAGCUUAACCACACUCCUAUUCACCAAGGGUAAGUAGCUAGCUUAGAAACUAACUUGACUAAGGUUAGAUGUUGUUUUGGGUCUAUAAAAGAGCACUACUUCCUGCUCUAACUUCAUCCCAUUCUCAUUCAUAUAGGAAUUUCACUUAGAAACUCAUUGGAAAGAAAGAAAUCUUUAGUUAAAGAAAGUUAGCUUAAGCUCUUAGGUUCUUUAAGUUGUGAAGCUCAAUUUCGUGGCCAAGCCUCCAAUCACCUGUUGAUCACUUCAAAAGAUAUUCAUGUUUUGAGUAGAUGCUUGGGGAAACGGGAUGAUCCUACUAGAUAAAAUAAUGUUUUUCUACUACUAUUUCUAGUAAAUACCCGUACUUAUUUGAAUUUUGCUUAACUUUGAUUAUGUAAAUAUAUUACCGAUUUUUGUUUUCUAAUAAAAGUACUAUUCAAAGAUGUAUAUAAUUUCUUUUACUUCUUGUUGAUUUAUUCAAGAAGAAAAUUUUAUUUGUUUUGACUCACGUCACAAAUUCACGAGCCAUAUUUCAGUACAAUAUUGGCCUUGGAUUUGGGGGCGUGACAGAUUGGUAUCAGAGCAAAAGUUCCUUUUAAGUUUUGCUUUCUAUAAAUAAAAAUAUAUAAACGGGGUGGGUACUAUAUAUGUAGCAUAUACAUGCCUUUUAGGCUGUCGAAAGCUUUGAUGAGUAUUAUGUGUCCCUAUUCUUUGAUUGCAGUUAUAUUUUAUAUGCUGACUUUAUCAAGUUAGGAGAUGAUAUAGUGAUUUGUUUGGGUUUUGUUUCAUUGAAAAGAAGAGAUUAAUUAUCAAGAAUCAUUUGUCUAAUGUUCUUCUAUUAAUCAAACUAUUAUAGUCAAUAUGGCUAGUAGGUUUGAUCGAUCCUUUGUUUUUUGUAUAGAUCAAGCAGUGAUAAUGCCAUGAUUACGCUUUUGUCAAUAUGGUAAUUUAUGCAUAUGAUUUUGUGACACAAGUUUUUGAGACUAAGUGGUUUUGGAUAACAUUAGAUAUACAAUAAGUGGAAGUUAUAUGCUUUAGUAUGAGUAGAGUAAAAUGAUUCGUUUAGAUGUACUCGUGACUAUUAUGGAAGUAUGAGUACUAAAGCCUUAGAAGAAUUGUUAAGCGUUCGCAAGACACCCAAAUUUCUCUUCCACUAAAAGAGCUUAGCAUAUAAGGUAGUUGUUGAAUUGCUUAACCAGGAUCUAGUAACAGUUUAGGGCUAGCUUGAUAUCCCUAUGGUAAAUUGAUAUUGAAGAGAUCCUUUUAUUUGGAAGUUAAACUUAAUUAUUUUAGGAAAAUUCGGAUCUGUAGAUUAGUCUCGUGAGAGAAAGAAAAUGGCGUUCAUUAUUAUAGCAGAUUAAGUGGUUCCUAGAAUGCUCUAGAAUUAUUGGUUGAAACAAUUGCUGGGUAGGCUACAGAUAGGAGAAAUUUUGAGGAGUAUUUAGUGAAAAUAUUGGUGAAUAAGAUUAGUUUAUAGCAAUAUUGGUCCUAGUGCAUUUGGGAGAUCUUUAAGCAUUGAUCGAUUAUGGAAAAAGACUAUUACUCAAACAAUUGGACAUGCAAGAUUUCCUUCCACUCAAAUUUAUUCUCAUGUGUUGAAGGAUAUUGAUAUGAAAGGUGACAGGUACGUCUUGAAGCUCUAGCUCUUGUUGAAAGUUUAGAAUCAUGAUUUUGUUUAGAUUACUAAGAAUAGGUUUUUACAAUAAUUAUUCCCUAUCCAAGUUCAAAAAUUCUAGCCCUAGCAGUAUGUGAGCUAUUAUCCAUAAACUUGUUUGAGGUGUAACUUUUUGUAGCCUUUAUAAGUUUAAGUGUAACCUAAUAUGACAUAAUCUAAGAUAGGAAUGAUUUGAAAGUCCGUUAUCAUGUAGUUCGAUCUAGGCUACCCUAAGUUUCUUGAAUUAAGAUGUUUAAUGUACAAUUUUGGAAGAAUCCUUAUUUUCAAAAGUUUCCUACACAGUUGAGAGUAAGAGAGUUAGAGCCAUAAAUAAGUUAAGCAUCAACAUGCUUGUCACUAGAAUUUUCUUUCUUGUCAAAUUGAAAGAAACUAUAGCCUUUGGACUGGCUAAAUACAUCCAUAGCUAUCAGCAAGACAGUAAAUUGCCGAGAGAAAAGAAUGUUUUAUGCAAUGCCUUGCAUGCGGAUAAUUACCUUGUCCAGAUUCUUGAUGAAUAUAUUUUAGGUCUCAACCAUUCCAACAUUAUGGUCCCGAAAGUUCGGUAUUUCUAGUGCCCUCGCACUUGCAUACUACCACUAUGAAGAUAAGCUUAGUAUCUACCCAUUGCUUAAAGGUCGAUUAGUAUUCUCUACAACCUAAAGAAUCGAACCAAGGGAUACAAUAGGCUUGGUGAAAAGUUCUUAGAUAUAAGAUUUGUUCAGUUGAGUGUUUUUAGUUGGGAACUACUUGAUGAAACUUUUAUUUGAGAAAGAUUUGAACAACAUUGAAGAAGAGAGAUAAACUCAUUUAUUGUUUUGCGAUAGUGUUAGCUAGAAGAAGAAAACUUGCUUGGUUGUUAUGCAGAAUCCAAAACCUAGCUACAUUGCAACAUCUUGACCUAAUGCUUUAGGAAACUUCCAACCUUUUAGAAUAUUAGAAAGAUACGAGUUUAGAUCCUCGACUGCUAUAGGUAUAGAUCAUUCAAGAUUUAAGUAAAUAGCCUACCGAAUAUUUUGAACUCAAGGUGAGAACUCAUAAACUAUGUAUACAUGAAAGAUGACACCUCUACAUUAGCACCAGACUGCUAUAUUGAGAAAGAGUAUGCACACCAAACAAUAUAGGAUUUAAGAGGAAGUUAUGCUCACCAUGUGAAGUUCAGUUUUCAUUCAAGGGGAAUGGAAAUACACAAAUACUUUUGGUGAAUACUUUUUGGGAGAAAACCAAGAGGUUAAAGUUAGAUUUAUGUAUUCGUCUAAUAUAUCAACAUGGUAGCAAAAUAGAUCGGAAUGGUAUAAUACCUUAAGAUUUCAAGUACUAUUAGGGAUGUCAUGAUAUAGUCUAAGUACGAACCACCACCUGUAUUGGAUUGAGAAACCUACGUAAAAUUCGAGGACGAAUUUUCUUUUAAGGUGGGUAGACUGUAAUAACCCGAACUUUUAGGAAUAAUUAUAUUGCAUUUUUAUGAUCUCGACAGUUCAUAUAUCUUAGAAAACAUUUUUUUUUUGUGUGAAGAUUUUGAUAAUUCAAAAAGCUCAUCUCAUGACUUUCUAACUCAUGAGUUUAUUACGAAAAUACCUUUUUGAGUGUUGGAUCAUCUCAACAUUUAUAAUUCAUGUAGAUGCCUAUAGAUUACACUUCUCUAAAUCAUUUCAAUUCCUAAGCAUUUUAAUUUGAGUUGAUUAGUUUUAUUCAUUUUGAAAUUAAAUCUUAGAACCAAAUGACAAGCUUUACAUGCAUUUUUCAAGAACAUAAAAAGAAAGUGAAGAUGACUUUGUGAUGAAAGCAGCUGAUCUCAUCAUCUCUAACACAUAAAAAUCUAGCCUAAAAGUCUUUGUUUAUUCACUUGGAGCUUAACCACACUCCUAUUCACCAAGGGUAAGUAGCUAGCUUAGAAACUAACUUGACUAAGGUUAGAUGUUGUUUUGGGUCUAUAAAAGAGCACUACUUCCUGCUCUAACUUCAUCCCAUUCUCAUUCAUAUAGGAAUUUCACUUAGAAACUCAUUGGAAAGAAAGAAAUCUUUAGUUAAAGAAAGUUAGCUUAAGCUCUUAGGUUCUUUAAGUUGUGAAGCUCAAUUUCGUGGCCAAGCCUCCAAUCACCUGUUGAUCACUUCAAAAGAUAUUCAUGUUUUGAGUAGAUGCUUGGGGAAACGGGAUGAUCCUACUAGAUAAAAUAAUGUUUUUCUACUACUAUUUCUAGUAAAUACCCGUACUUAUUUGAAUUUUGCUUAACUUUGAUUAUGUAAAUAUAUUACCGAUUUUUGUUUUCUAAUAAAAGUACUAUUCAAAGAUGUAUAUAAUUUCUUUUACUUCUUGUUGAUUUAUUCAAGAAGAAAAUUUUAUUUGUUUUGACUCACGUCACAAAU
This is a long non-coding RNA of Rosa rugosa (rugosa rose), 4360 nucleotides long. RefSeq lists it as uncharacterized. Lineage: Eukaryota; Viridiplantae; Streptophyta; Magnoliopsida; Rosales; Rosaceae. The transcript has 3 exons. The record is from RefSeq and is a predicted model, not a curated record.